This 240-nucleotide long non-coding RNA is filed under the name Crocodylus porosus (Australian saltwater crocodile). RNAcentral describes it as "lncRNA (ENSCPRG00005018379.1)". The record is from RNAcentral. Lineage: Eukaryota; Metazoa; Chordata; Crocodylia; Crocodylidae.
CACAGUAUAAGCUGUCACUAACUUUACAAAUCUUUGUUUAUAGCUCCAAGUGCAGAAUAACCAACUAAAAUCAUACAGAGAGAAAUGAGAAGGAAAAGAGAACUGCUUCAAAGUACCAGGUUUUGCUAAAAUUAACAGCAUUGUGUAACAUUCAAAGAACAAUUUGAGAGGCUCCCGGCAUAGGUGGAUCCAGGAUUUUGUAAGGGGAGGUAUAGGAACAGCAAGCAGUGCUGGAGGCAU